This 29-nucleotide non-coding RNA is filed under the name Mus musculus (house mouse). Lineage: Eukaryota; Metazoa; Chordata; Mammalia; Rodentia; Muridae. The record is from RNAcentral.
UGGCAAAGUAGGAGGACAGACUGGAUACC